CAAACCUACAGUAUACUGUAGCUUUCAUUUCACACCACGUUGCAUAGAAAAAGCAUCAGAUACUUUAUAGAAUAUCAAAACUCUGUGGACGUACAGCCUCUAUAAUGCAUUUGUUUUAAUCAGACCGUAUAUGCUGUGACGUCUUACGAGUUAUUCAUUUUUUUUGUUUUGUUUUGUUUGUUUUCCCUGUGCAGGUCGUGCAAUCCGGUAUUCGCGUCAUGUAUUCAGAGUUCAACUAAUUCGCUCUCGAAAAUUAUUUCUAUUUAGUACUAACUCAGGUUUAUGUGAGGUGAAAAUGAGCAACCAUUUAUGAGAUUGUCUUUUAUGAAAAGAUAUUUGAAACAGCGUGUGUGUGUGUGUGUGUGUGUGUGAAAUGUGUUUGUGUUCGUAACCGCAUUAUGAUGUUUUGAACGAGAUACGAAAUAAAUAAAUAAAGAAAGAAAGACCAUUUAUUUCACCUUUAACAUUUUUUUUUUUAUUACGGACAAAUGAAACCAAAAAGAUAUAGUGACACAAAAUUACCUGGCUGCAAGGAAAGAAUAGGCCAGUAUCAAAAAGUAAAAAAACAAACGAACGAACAAACGAAGAACGGACAAACAAACAAAAGCAAUCUUCAUCAAACCAAAAAAGCACAAAAAAAAACAAAAAAAAAACGAAAUAAUGUAGUUAUAUGCAAAAAUGAUCUCAUUUUGUUCAUAAAUAGAUAGGAAACCUGUUAAACAAUUAAAUAACUGAUGGGCAACUUGCAAAAAAAAAAAAAAAAAAAAAAAAGGAUAAGUUGGUAACAAUUUAAAAUAAUUAUAAUUACUGGCUUUACAAAUAAAAUAACUACAAUUGGCAGGUUUGUACACAAAUUAAAUGUCUUAAAAGUUUUUUUUUUUUUUUAACCAAACUAAAAUAUUAUGCUACAGUGAAAGAAAAAAAAAAAAAAAAGCUUGACUAAAUGAUCAAAUGUAUUUUUUUUUUUCCCACAAAACAUAAGGAUGAGAUCAACACAAUAUAACACCUAGCAAAGCUACUAGAAAACUAUAGACCCACUGUUGUUUUAAAUGUGUGCUGAAAUAUCUCACAUUGAGCACGGUUUAAAUUCACCUCUAAAUGUUGCACUGGUAUGGAUUCAUCAGUCAGACCAGGCCAACAGAACGACUCUGAUUGCCUUUAAAUGAAUGCCUUUGUUUUAAUACUGGGGUGGGGGGGUGUCAAGAGGGGGGGGUAUUUGAGAUAGAGUACAGUUCCUGUAAAACCUGGCCCCGUUUUUCAUCCGUCUGAAAUGUACAACCUGAGAUAACAAACAAAGCCAAUCGAAUCCUGAACCAAUUCCGGUUCUUAAAACAAGCCUGUUUGGAGAAAUGUUACAAACAAAAGGCCUGGGUCAGGGUUUUCUGCUAAUUUACACGGUCCGAGCCGCAGUUUUUGCGGAUCCCGAACGGAGACGCGGGUCAUAAAGUUCGUAAUGGUUUUGAACCGUCAAUCUUUAUUCGACAAUCCACCCAGUGAGCACAGAUUUAAUGCAAGAUUGUGUUCGUGUGAAACACUCCUCUAAUAUCUGCACAGGCUGAUCAAUUUUUCAACACACACACACACACACACACACACACUCAUUUGCACACAUUCCAGCACACGCUCAUAGGAUACCAUUUAAAAUACAAAUUAAUGAAUUAUAAGUCAUAUUAAAGAAGAAAAAAUAUCUGGACUUCAUUUUAUUAUUUUUUUUUUUUCCAAUUUUGAUCCCAAAAAAAGUGAUAUUUACAAUCACACUGUGACAGAUUAUUAAAGACCUAUUGAGGUCUUUAAAAUUACAAAAAAAAAAAAAAAAAAAAAAAAGUUAUUAAAUGUAUUUAUCUAUUCACCUGUUUCUUUUUUCUUCUUCUUCUUCUUCUUCUUCUUUUCUGACCUUACUAAUAUCUUUUCAAAAUUCACAGAGUAUCAGAUGGACCUACAGUAAGAUGUUGGUCUUUAAUGACUUCAUCAUAAGAGUAUUUCUCUACAGUACAGGACCUGUUAUUGGCUAAAAAACAAAACAAAACAAACAAGAAAAAAAAACCCAAUAAAAAAAAAAAAAUUGUAGCAAGCAAGAAAUAAAUAAAAGAACAAACGAGGGCAUGAGAAAGUAAUCGAGAAGAGGAAAGCUUUCCUCUAUUUUAAUUAAAGCUCGUUUGCCCCGAGGGCCAGGUUUAUGGUAGUUUGUUUAAUUUUUCCUUUAAUAUAUCUAUGUUGUUUAUUUUUUAUUUUUUUAUUUAUUUAUUUAUUUAUUUUUUUGAAAUUCAGAGAAAGUAAGAGUGCUCUGGAAGGUCUCCAGUGGGAGGCCUGUACAUUUUAAGUGCUUGGCAAAAAAAUGAGAGGAUCACUAGUAGUCUUCAGAACACGCGUACACAUCCUUCUAAAAACGAAUGAAAAUGACACUGAGUAAAAACAGAAGGUGACGGGGGAAAGGGUGGAGAGGUGUAGGGUACUCCCUGGUGUUGUUUCAUCACUUUUUUUUUUUUGUCACACAUCGUCUUUUUGUUUCUUCUCCAUUCACUUCAAGUGAGGUAGAGUGGCUUGUCCCUGCCUAUCAUGCUGCCACUGCAAAAAAAACCAAAAAAAAAAAAAACAAUUUAAGUCUGACAACAUUCAUAGUUCAUACACAAAGAAAAUAGGAUCAUCAGAGCUAAACAGGAUCAUGCAGCGAAAAAUCUUGAUAGCCAUAUUUUAUGCUGUCCAAACUACUCCAGAUGUGAACGUAUAAACGCGACUCUUCUGCUUUCAGGCUUUUUUUUUUAUACGAGUCUGGACUUUGUCAGUCUCUCAGAUUCUCGGUCAGUCGUUUAAACACAGUUCACGCAUGGGCCGGAGAGCACACUCUCUCAGAGCACGGGACAGGGGGAGAAAAGGCCAUAGACGAGGCUGCUGUGCCAUGGUAUUUGAGGUCUGGCGCUGCUCUAUCGCAUUAACACACAGGUGUAUCUGAUGCAUUACUGUAAAUACUGAAAUAGAUCAGCUGAAUACGCACAGUGUAGACUGUAGAGUGUAGA
Molecule: long non-coding RNA, 3014 nt
Organism: Ictalurus punctatus (channel catfish)
Lineage: Eukaryota; Metazoa; Chordata; Actinopteri; Siluriformes; Ictaluridae
Source: Ensembl